GACGAACGCUGGCGGCGUGCCUAAUACAUGCAAGUAGAACGCUGAAGGAGGAGCUUGCUUCUCUGGAUGAGUUGCGAACGGGUGAGUAACGCGUAGGUAACCUGCCUGGUAGCGGGGGAUAACUAUUGGAAACGAUAGCUAAUACCGCAUAAUAGUAGAUGUUGCAUGACAUUUGCUUAAAAGGUGCAAUUGCAUCACUACCAGAUGGACCUGCGUUGUAUUAGCUAGUUGGUGGGGUAACGGCUCACCAAGGCGACGAUACAUAGCCGACCUGAGAGGGUGAUCGGCCACGCUGGGACUGAGACACGGCCCAGACUCCUACGGGAGGCAGCAGUAGGGAAUCUUCGGCAAUGGACGGAAGUCUGACCGAGCAACGCCGCGUGAGUGAAGAAGGUUUUCGGAUCGUAAAGCUCUGUUGUAAGAGAAGAACGAGUGUGAGAGUGGAAAGUUCACACUGUGACGGUAUCUUACCAGAAAGGGACGGCUAACUACGUG
Molecule: ribosomal RNA, 495 nt
Filed under: uncultured bacterium
Lineage: Bacteria
Description: partial 16S ribosomal RNA
Rfam family: Bacterial small subunit ribosomal RNA
Source: RNAcentral